ACUAAAUAGAUACCCAGGUAGUCCACACCGUAAACGGUGGGCACUAGGUGUGGGUCACAUUCCACGUGAUCCGUGCCGUAGCUAAACGCAUUAAGUGCCCCGCCUGGGGAGUACGGCCGCAAGGCUAAAAACUCAAAGGAAUUAACGGGGGCCCGCACAAGCGGCGGAGCAUGCGGAUUAAAUUCGAUGCAACGCGAAGAACCUUACCUGGGUUUGACAUAUGCCGGAAAGCUGCAGAGAUGUGGCCUCCCUUUGGGCCGGUUUACAGGUGGUGCAUGGCUGUCGUCAGCUCGUGUCGUGAGAUGUUGGGUUAAGUCCCGCAACGAGCGCAACCCUUGUCCUAUGUUGCCAGCAAUUCGGUUGGGGACUCAUAGGAGACUGCCGGGGUCAACUCGGAGGAAGGUGGGGAUGACGUCAAGUCAUCAUGCCCCGUUAUGUCCAGGGCUUCACGCAUGCUACAAUGGCCGGUACAAACGAGCUGCGAGCCUGUGA
This 492-nucleotide ribosomal RNA is filed under the name uncultured bacterium. Its description in RNAcentral is "bacterial SSU rRNA". It matches the Rfam family "Bacterial small subunit ribosomal RNA", at positions 772 to 1260 of the family's 1533-position model. The record is from RNAcentral.